Molecule: long non-coding RNA, 465 nt
Filed under: Citrus x clementina
Lineage: Eukaryota; Viridiplantae; Streptophyta; Magnoliopsida; Sapindales; Rutaceae
Description: Citrus clementina (C. clementina) long non-coding RNA (CCLE_LNC006743)
Source: RNAcentral
UGGUGCCCAUUCUGGAAUUUUGCCAUCCCUCGUUUGGGGCAUAUUCCAUUAAGACCAUUGGGGUAUAUUUACUUUCACCAAUCAGAUUUUAUCUCACCAGCUGAUUGUCCAACGUAAAAUCAAACUACUACAAGGGUACAAUAGUCUUUUCAUAGAAAUCGACUCGAGGGUUUAGCUAAAGGAUCGCUUAUUCCGGAGAUUAUACUGGGAAAAAGGAAUCAAUUAAUGAUAAGACUACAAAAAAAAAAAAAAAAAAACUGCAAGUCAGAUAAUGAAGGGUAUUAUACAUUUUAAACGCUUAUACACGUCCAGAUACAUUUUCAACGCUUAUACACGUCCAGAUACAUUCUCAAAGGUCAAACCUCAGGAGAGGCAUCCACAAACUACCCCAACCAAACACAAACCAAAAGAUCUGCCUCUGCUGGUCCGGUGGAGUUCCCUUCUUGUCCUGGAUCUUAGCCUUGA